AAAAACUGCGCAAGAUUGGGACAUCUUCUGGAAGUUUUGAAAGAAAAAAAUGGUACCUGAUGGCCAGGAAGUGUGACUAUCAACAUAAUUCCCAAGCAGUGAAAUGGGUUUCUGAUUUGGUAGAAGUUCUAGAAUAUUGAUCGUGACUGAAACAUCACACACAAGCAAAUCUAAGUGAAAUGUAACCAUGGCCACUGGCUCGUGAGCAGUGAGUAAAUAAUGCCCACUGUCCAGCAUAAAAUAGGGCUUAAUGGAGUGAGAGCAAAGUGGCAAGUAAUUAAAAGCCACUUCUAACAAUCAAGUGUGAAUGCCCCACGGGAAGGAUAUGUUCUGGACAGCUGGCCACAAAAGACUGGGGACCUCUUUCACUAAAUGACAAGCCAAUAUACUUACUCUGUAAUAAAAGUCUUCCUUCCUAGCCAUUUGCAUGGACAUACAAUCUGAAGAUUUCAUGUGGUGAUCUCUGAUUCAAAGAUUUCCUUAGUUAAGCAAAUUACUAAAGCAAAAACUUCCAUGACCUGGAAGGAAAAAGGAAACAGAGCAACCAAGGAUUCUGCCUAUAUAUGGCAAGAUUGAGCCUAUUGCCCCAUGAAUGUGGAACUCACCGAGUGUGGACACUCAGUGUUGUGCUUCACACCUUCACAAGCAUGAAGAAUAAGGCUAGUUUGUUUCCCAGGUUGACUAAUGUAGAUUGCAGCCAUCCCAAAUAUAGAAGGGAUUAACUAAUCGGACUCACUUCCUGCUAUUACCAAGCAUUGAAACUUGCAGUUGACCUUGAUGUAGGUUUUAAGGGGUGGAACACCUAGCCUUUGUCUUCCACGUAUCACCUUCUUCUAGCCCCAGCUCUCAUCACCAACAUGAAGAUGUGGUUCACCGAGUGUUGAACACCUCCUUUUGUGAAUAAAUACAGUUCCUAUUUUAUCAAUGGAGAGAUGAGGCCCUGAGAGCCAUUAAAUGAUGGAACCAGGAUUUGGAUCCAAGUUUGUCUGGUCCGGAGUCCAUGUACUUUCUGUUCUGCACUACUGCCUCUGAAGGAGGCUUAUUCCACACGCUGUAUUUCCCAGUAUUUCUUGCCUGCUGGUUCGUGGCCAGUAGAAGCCAUCAGUAGAAGGCUGGAGAACAGAAAGAAGAGAGAAACCAGAGCAAACAUUUGGAAGAACUAGCAAGCUUCAGAGUCCCUGGGCCUUUUGCCUCUCCUACGACAUGGAUCAAAGGCUGCUUCUCUGACACCUCAUUUAUUUUUCCUAAGUUUGACUUGAGAGAAAAAGUGAAAAGUUUUCCACCAAUGGACUGGAGUUCUCCUCUGCCAUCAGAGCAACACAGACAGUUUUCGCCUCCUUGCAGCUGUCUUUUAUGGCUCUAAAUAUGUGUGUUGUUUCCCUUCCUGCUCCAAUCCCCACAUCCGGGAAGUCCUACAGUUUCCUCCUCUGGGUUCUGGGAUGUGCUGAGGCAUAGCAGAGCGGGUGAUUGUCAUUGAAACUUGGCUGCAGCUGCUGCUGCUUCUGACGCUGGAGAAUGUGCACUUUAGCAUCAUGUCCCACUCUCUGAUGCUAAACAGUUCUUUUCAGUCUUUUAAUAGAUUCUUGGGGGAGGAGGAAGUGAAGGCUGAGGUUAGCUUUGUUCGCUUGUGUGCCUCUCAGUCAGAUUGGCAUCUGGCACCAAGCCUACUGUUUGGUCAGAUGGUAUUGUUUUCUGUUAUACACACACACACACACACACACACACACACACACACACACACACACACACAGCACGAGCUCAAACCAUAUGUCUCUAUGUCUUCAAGUUACGUUGCACUGACCAAAAUCAUAUUUACCACACACUGAGGUAUAAAUUCAAAAUACACGUUCUUUGGCGUCUGUAACCAUGUCAAGUGAGGUUCUGUUUUUUCAAUAUGGCAGUGGGUUGCAGGCACUAGAGAAAACUCCCUCCAACUGAUCUCUACUCUCUUUAGUGAAAAGCAUGCAUAGAAUGUGAUGAGAGGACCAGUUCAACCAAUUACCUCACGCAGAGAUAAUUCAAUCUUUCUAGGGAAGCCUCAGUGGACAAUUAAUGUGAAUUGAACUUCCCAAAUCUCUCCCUCCCAGACUUCUAAAGAUGGCUAGAAUUCAUCUAGAAAUCAUAUGAAACCCUGCCUUCUUUUUCCACCCAGACGUGGUUUUCUUCCAGCUGAAAGCUUCCCAGAGCCCCUUAAGACCUGCCUUCACUUUCUAGAGUGAGUUGAGAAACUUCAGAACUAUGAGAACAGAGGUCAGCAAACUAUGUCCCCAUGGACCAAAUCCAACCAGCUUCCUGUUUUUGUAAAUAAAGCUUUACUGAAACAAAGCGAUGCCCCCCAACUGCCUUUUUUUUUUUUUU
Molecule: non-coding RNA, 2358 nt
Organism: Macaca mulatta (Rhesus monkey)
Lineage: Eukaryota; Metazoa; Chordata; Mammalia; Primates; Cercopithecidae
Source: RefSeq, a predicted model, not a curated record